CUCUUCUUUCUCUCUCUCUCUUUCCUUCUUUCUUUUCUCUUUGUUGCACUGCUGCAAUAAAGAUCUCUUGGUUGCUCCGAGUGUUGUGGUCACUUUCCUUUUAUUGGUGCCGAAACCCGGGAGAGGGUUAAAACCCACUUUUGGGUCCCUCUUCCUUCGGAAGUGCCACUCACCGGAUGGCCUGAACCCAGGCCUGAACCCAUUUUCUUGAUCACGAGAACUCCAUCCACCACCAAGCUUCGAUUGUCUCCGGCCUCUUCAGGAGGGGAACCGAAAAGAAAAGCCUUGGCAAAGGUCUCCCACUGCUCCAGCUCCGCGUCCAGGAGGAGAUCUUCGACUGUCAGGAUUCGGGUGACGACCAAUCUCUGCAGCUUGAACCUGCCACUAAGUUUUUAUCUCAAACCACAGAUGCCGCUUUUACAUCCAAGUGACAUGGCACCAGGAUGACACCACCCACUCUCAGUUUAUGGGUCAAGGCUAUUGCCCUUCCACUGGCUGCAAUCAGGCUGUCACCCUUAACAUUACUGGAUUCAACCAAGCCACCUCCAAUACUUCCUAGAGUCCCUGCUACAGGACCAGUGGCUGAUACCAAGAAUCUCCUCCAUCCAGGGCUGGUUUGAUGCCAUCGAGGACUUGUGGCUUCAAGGAACUUUUAUGGACUUUGCCCCUACCACAGUAGUUGUCUGUAGCCACGAAGUGUUAUUUCUGGCUGCCCUGGUGUUCUCAGACCUGUCCCUCGAACAUUCCUCCACUUCUCCUUCUAGGUCUAACUCCCCCCACCAUUAAGCAGGAAGUAGCCGUUUAUGCAUUCCCCCAUGUCACUUAGAAAAACAAAAAGGGAGGAAUGUUGGGUGCAGAGCAAGCUGAACUGUGUUGUCUGCAGGGCAGGCUGAACAGAUGUUGGCUGCAAGAU
Molecule: non-coding RNA, 913 nt
Organism: Ictidomys tridecemlineatus (thirteen-lined ground squirrel)
Lineage: Eukaryota; Metazoa; Chordata; Mammalia; Rodentia; Sciuridae
Source: RefSeq, a predicted model, not a curated record